CGCCAGACCUAGCCACGGCCACGCACUCACGCACGCACCUCUAGGUCCAGUGCGGCGAGGCAUCCGCCGCCGGCCACCGGCUGCUAGUGACUCCCUCCACUCCGGUGUUCGCCUGCUAGCCUGCUCCGCUGCUCGCCCACGCCCUUCACCGCUCGUCCGCCUGGCCUGCUUCGCUGCUCGCCCCGUCGUCCGUCUCCUGCUCAUCCGUGCGACCCGUCCCCUGCUCGCCUGCUUCCCUACUCUGCCGCUUGUGCAACCCAACUCGCCGCCUCACCCGCUGCCCCGCUCAGCUGGCUGGCUCCUGCUCUCUGGCCUCCGCCACACCCAGGACAGGAUUGAAAUAAAAGAUGAAGAGAUAUUUUUCAUCCGUGGCCGCAACAGAAGUGUCUAUGGCGUGCAGUAUUGAGCGAGAAAUAUUUGCAAAUGUUGAUGAUGAUGCUAUUUUAUAUCGCUUUCAAUCUUAUACAUCUCGCAAAGGAAUUCUACCUCCUCAUAGUAGUGUUGGCUGUACUUCCACCAUUGAUCAAGUUAUGGAAGACACUGAUGAAGCAAGCCAUUGAUUUGGUAUUCUUUUUACUGCACAUGUCCAUAGUUUUUAUCAUUUUUUAUCUAUUUUGUU
Triticum dicoccoides is the source of this 619-nucleotide long non-coding RNA. RefSeq lists it as uncharacterized. NCBI's taxonomy places the organism in Eukaryota, Viridiplantae, Streptophyta, Magnoliopsida, Poales, Poaceae. The transcript is spliced from 3 exons. The record is from RefSeq and is a predicted model, not a curated record.